This 90-nucleotide ribosomal RNA is filed under the name Acinetobacter sp. SwsAc5. RNAcentral describes it as "partial 23S ribosomal RNA". It matches the Rfam family "Bacterial large subunit ribosomal RNA", at positions 1 to 83 of the family's 2925-position model. The record is from RNAcentral. Lineage: Bacteria; Pseudomonadati; Pseudomonadota; Gammaproteobacteria; Moraxellales; Moraxellaceae.
GUUGUAUAGUCAAGUAAUUAAGUGCAUGUGGUGGAUGCCUUGGCAGUCAGAGGCGAAGAAAGACGUGAUAGCCUGCGAAAAGCUCCGGGG